This is a non-coding RNA of Pteropus alecto (black flying fox), 119 nucleotides long. Lineage: Eukaryota; Metazoa; Chordata; Mammalia; Chiroptera; Pteropodidae. The record is from Rfam.
GUCUACUGCCAUGCCACCCUGAACACACCUAAUCCCGUCUGAUCUAAGAAGCUAAGCAGGGUUGGGCCUGGUUAGUACUUGGAUGGGAGACCACCUAGGAAGACCAGGUACUGUAGGCA